AUGGUUAAGUUAGAAAGGGCGCACGGUGGAUGCCUUGGCACUAGGAGCCGAUGAAGGACGGGACGAACACCGAUAUGCUUCGGGGAGCUGUAAGCAAGCUUUGAUCCGGAGAUUUCCGAAUGGGGAAACCCACUGCUCGUAAUGGAGUAGUAUCCAUACUUGAAUACAUAGAGUAUGAGAAGGCAU
This 186-nucleotide ribosomal RNA is filed under the name Bacillus altitudinis. RNAcentral describes it as "partial 23S ribosomal RNA". It matches the Rfam family "Bacterial large subunit ribosomal RNA", at positions 1 to 183 of the family's 2925-position model. Lineage: Bacteria; Bacillati; Bacillota; Bacilli; Caryophanales; Bacillaceae. The record is from RNAcentral.